This 156-nucleotide ribosomal RNA is filed under the name uncultured bacterium. Its description in RNAcentral is "partial 16S ribosomal RNA". It matches the Rfam family "Bacterial small subunit ribosomal RNA", at positions 1334 to 1500 of the family's 1533-position model. The record is from RNAcentral.
GCUAGUAAUCGCGGAUCAGAAUGCCGCGGUGAAUGCGUUCCCGGGUCUUGUACACACCGCCCGUCACACCACGGAAGUUGGGGUGCCCAAAGUUGGCAGGAUAAUAUGUUACCUAAGGCAAAACCGAUGACUGGGGUGAAGUCGUAACAAGGUAUC